UGUCGAAAAAAAAAUAUUUUU
RNAcentral lists this non-coding RNA (21 nucleotides) under Caenorhabditis elegans. The record is from RNAcentral. Lineage: Eukaryota; Metazoa; Nematoda; Chromadorea; Rhabditida; Rhabditidae.